RNAcentral lists this ribosomal RNA (516 nucleotides) under Serratia marcescens. Its description in RNAcentral is "bacterial SSU rRNA". It matches the Rfam family "Bacterial small subunit ribosomal RNA", at positions 99 to 611 of the family's 1533-position model. The record is from RNAcentral. Lineage: Bacteria; Pseudomonadati; Pseudomonadota; Gammaproteobacteria; Enterobacterales; Yersiniaceae.
CGGACGGGUGAGUAAUGUCUGGGAAACUGCCUGAUGGAGGGGGAUAACUACUGGAAACGGUAGCUAAUACCGCAUAACGUCGCAAGACCAAAGAGGGGGACCUUCGGGCCUCUUGCCAUCAGAUGUGCCCAGAUGGGAUUAGCUAGUAGGUGGGGUAAUGGCUCACCUAGGCGACGAUCCCUAGCUGGUCUGAGAGGAUGACCAGCCACACUGGAACUGAGACACGGUCCAGACUCCUACGGGAGGCAGCAGUGGGGAAUAUUGCACAAUGGGCGCAAGCCUGAUGCAGCCAUGCCGCGUGUGUGAAGAAGGCCUUCGGGUUGUAAAGCACUUUCAGCGAGGAGGAAGGUGGUGAACUUAAUACGUUCAUCAAUUGACGUUACUCGCAGAAGAAGCACCGGCUAACUCCGUGCCAGCAGCCGCGGUAAUACGGAGGGUGCAAGCGUUAAUCGGAAUUACUGGGCGUAAAGCGCACGCAGGCGGUUUGUUAAGUCAGAUGUGAAAUCCCCGGGCUCA